UAUAUUUUAGUAUAUGAGGUACAAAAAUUUUUGAAAUUUUAAGAAAUAGUUAGAUUCUAUUAAAUAUAA
Molecule: transfer RNA, 69 nt
Filed under: Tympanogaster modulatrix
Lineage: Eukaryota; Metazoa; Arthropoda; Insecta; Coleoptera; Hydraenidae
Description: tRNA-Gln
Source: RNAcentral